This 337-nucleotide ribosomal RNA is filed under the name uncultured Nitrospira sp. RNAcentral's name for it is "bacterial SSU rRNA". It matches the Rfam family "Bacterial small subunit ribosomal RNA", at positions 335 to 672 of the family's 1533-position model. Lineage: Bacteria; Pseudomonadati; Nitrospirota; Nitrospiria; Nitrospirales; Nitrospiraceae. The record is from RNAcentral.
ACUCCUACGGGAGGCAGCAGUAAGGAAUAUUGCGCAAUGGACGACAAUCUGACGCAGCGACGCCGCGUGGGGGAUGAAGGUCUUCGGAUUGUAAACCCCUUUCGGGUGGAAAGAUGGCUCUCGACAACGAGAGCGGACGGUACCACCAGAAGCAGCCACGGCCAACUUCGUGCCAGCAGCCGCGGUAAUACGAAGGUGGCAAGCGUUGUUCGGAUUCACUGGGCGUACAGGGUGUGUAGGCGGUUCGGUAAGCCCUCUGGGAAAGCUCCUGGCUCAACCGGGAAAGUUCAGGGGGGACUGCCGGGCUAGAGGACGGGAGAGGAGCGCGGAAUUCCCG